Molecule: ribosomal RNA, 253 nt
Filed under: uncultured bacterium
Lineage: Bacteria
Description: partial 16S ribosomal RNA
Rfam family: Bacterial small subunit ribosomal RNA
Source: RNAcentral
UACGGAGGGGACUAGCGUUGUUCGGAAUUACUGGGCGUAAAGCGCACGUAGGCGGAUUUGUAAGUCAGGGGUGAAAUCCCGGGGCUCAACCUCGGAACUGCCUUUGAUACUGCAAAUCUCGAGUCCGGAAGAGGUGAGUGGAAUUCCUGGUGUAGCGGUGGAAUGCGCAGAUAUCAGGAGGAACAUCCGUGGCGAAGGCGGCUCUCUGGGACGGUACUGACGCUGAGACGCGAAAGCGUGGGGAGCGAACAGG